AUCUUUCUCUUUCAUCACUUCUCUCUCAGUUAUCCAAAACUCAUAUCUCUUUUCUUUUUUCUUCCGAGUUCUGCAACUCUUCUCCAUCUAUCAUCAUCUCCUCCAAGAAAUUAGAAUUUGAAACCUAACUUCAACAAUAAUAGUGAAAUAGAAGAAUCAAGAUAAUCAUCGUUUUUUCUUAUGAUAUCCCCAAACCCUUUCUUCAUCUCCUCUACCAAAGUUUCUUUAUCACCCACACAACGAAAACCCUAUCUUCUAAAUUAUGUGCAUCGUCAUUAAACAAGCCCUUUACUCCGCCUCUUUCUUAUUGAUGUCUUCUAUUAAUUUUUUCGUUUUCUGGAAACAGAAACAAAACCAUUUCUUAGAUCUGUAACCAAUUUCUUAGAUUUGUAACAUGUAAUCUCAAUUGUGAACCAUUCUUAAAUCCAUUUUUUUGCCUUUAUCUGUUAGGGUUCUAAUCAUCUAUUCUUCUAUUUCAUAAACGGAACCCAUUUUAUUUCAACAUCAGUUGUAUAUCGGAGAAGAGUACCACAAAAAUCAGAGAAGAUAUUCUGGUUAUUAUCAUUGGAUUUAUUUGUGUUAUGUUUUAUUCGGAGUAGUACAUCUACAAAGCAGCCAUCAGGGAUCAGCUGGAACACAUGAUUCUUGGGGACCUCAAAUUAAGGGUCUUACUUGAGACACCAAAUGAUGAGAUGAACAUCAUUAGAAACGAUUCAUUUAGUUUAUUGAUGAUCUCAGUGGAGUAAGAAAUAGAAUUUACUAUUGAGGUUUGUGCAUUUGAUAAUUGUGGAAUGGGCUAGAGUUCGAUACCCACUAGAAAAUCUGAACACAUGGACAACAAUAUGGCAAAAGAUGCAUUGGCAUUAAUUGAUCAUUUAGGUUGGGGUAAAGCUCAUGCUUUCAAUCAUUUAAGUUGACAACCCCCUUAUUUUCAUUUGGAUAACUUGUGGUAUAAUCUCUGCUCAGGGAAUGUUGAAAUUCUUCAAAUGGGUUUCUUGGUAUGAAACCCAAAUUGGAAUUUCAUAUUCUCCCAAUUAUGGAGCUCAUGGUCUGAAAUAUUUUGGUUAGUCCUAUUUUCUGUAGGCAUGCUUCGUAUGAUUUGGUUGCUCUGAAUUUUGGAGAUGCUUUAGAUUGAGACCGUAUGCUAUGUUCCAGUUGUACCGAAGAAUUUGUGACUUAUUGGACUUUUGGUUUUGUAACUAAAGAAUUUGUGAUUGAUAAGUUACAUUACUGAGAGCUCCACAAGUACCAGGGGGCAUCAAUUAUUUCAUGGAAUUCCUUAUGUGGUCAUUUAAUUUGCAUCCAAGUGAUGAUAUGAAAAUCCUAGCAAUUUCUUCUUAUCUGAUAUAUGAUAUCGGGCAUGCCAAGCUUGCAGGUUUGCUUCCACAUUACAGGUUAUACUCCCGUUUCACUCCAUCCUUGAUUGACAGGGGAUAUUGCGAUUGGACCCCCAAUGGAAGAGAAAGUUGAGGUGGAGGAUAUUGUUGCAUAAUCGAUUCUGGAUAUUGUCCACGAUAAAUAUGCUCACUACAAGAAAACUGAGCUUGUCCAAUCUGCUUACGAUUCUGUGUUGGGUCAUCUAGUUAGAGCCAUUUGCUGGUUAUUGUGGAGUCAUUGGUCACCACAUAAAAAUAAAUGGUCGGAGACGAAGAAGGGACAAAAGAGAUAGCACCAGGGAAGAUGAAAAUCCAGUUUUCAUGCAGGUAGGGGUGUGAAUAAUACCCGAAAAUACUCACCCUGCCUGUAUCCGCCCGAGCCCGCCUGUACCCGAAGUAGCCCAAAGCCUGUUAUGGCCCGUCAUGGACCACGCGGUCUGGCCUGGAUUAAUUUAUUGGGCGGUCUCGGGCUUUGCGAUUAAUUAUGAUGCCCGGCCUGAUACCCGGCCUGGUGCCCGGCCUGAAAGCCUUCUAUGUGCCAUUAAUCAUUUAAUAUCCUCUUAAAAAGACUUAAAAGUUACAAUUUUAUAAUUGUCAAUUUUGUAUCAAGAAAAAUAAAAUAUAUAAUUGUUUUUUUAUUUAUAA
This is a long non-coding RNA of Papaver somniferum (opium poppy), 2021 nucleotides long. RefSeq lists it as uncharacterized. The record is from RefSeq and is a predicted model, not a curated record. The transcript is spliced from 7 exons. NCBI's taxonomy places the organism in Eukaryota, Viridiplantae, Streptophyta, Magnoliopsida, Ranunculales, Papaveraceae.